UCUACAGGCUUAACACAUGCAAGUCGAGGGGCAUCAGGAAGAAAGCUUGCUUUCUUUGCUGGCGACCGGCGCACGGGUGAGUAACACGUAUCCAACCUGCCCUUUACUCGGGGAUAGCCUUUCGAAAGAAAGAUUAAUACCCGAUAGCAUAAUGAUUCCGCAUGGUUUCAUUAUUAAAGGAUUCCGGUAAAGGAUGGGGAUGCGUUCCAUUAGGUUGUUGGUGAGGUAACGGCCCACCAAGCCUUCGAUGGAUAGGGGUUCUGAGAGGAAGGUCCCCCACAUUGGAACUGAGACACGGUCCAAACUCCUACGGGAGGCAGCAGUGAGGAAUAUUGGUCAAUGGGCGCUAGCCUGAACCAGCCAAGUAGCGUGAAGGAUGAAGGCUCUAUGGGUCGUAAACUUCUUUUAUAUAAGAAUAAAGUGCAGUAUGUAUACUGUUUUGUAUGUAUUAUAUGAAUAAGGAUCGGCUAACUCCGUGCCAGCAGCCGCGGUAAUACGGAGGAUCCGAGCGUUAUCCGGAUUUAUUGGGUUUAAAGGGAGCGUAGGUGGACUGGUAAGUCAGUUGUGAAAGUUUGCGGCUCAACCGUAAAAUUGCAGUUGAUACUGUCAGUCUUGAGUACAGUAGAGGUGGGCGGAAUUCGUGGUGUAGCGGUGAAAUGCUUAGAUAUCACGAAGAACUCCGAUUGCGAAGGCAGCUCACUGGACUGCAACUGACACUGAUGCUCGAAAGUGUGGGUAUCAAACAGGAUUAGAUACCCUGGUAGUCCACACAGUAAACGAUGAAUACUCGCUGUUUGCGAUAUACAGUAAGCGGCCAAGCGAAAGCAUUAAGUAUUCCACCUGGGGAGUACGCCGGCAACGGUGAAACUCAAAGGAAUUGACGGGGGCCCGCACAAGCGGAGGAACAUGUGGUUUAAUUCGAUGAUACGCGAGGAACCUUACCCGGGCUUAAAUUGCAGUGGAAUGAUGUGGAAACAUGUCAGUGAGCAAUCACCGCUGUGAAGGUGCUGCAUGGUUGUCGUCAGCUCGUGCCGUGAGGUGUCGGCUUAAGUGCCAUAACGAGCGCAACCCUUAUCUUUAGUUACUAACAGGUUAUGCUGAGGACUCUAGAGAGACUGCCGUCGUAAGAUGUGAGGAAGGUGGGGAUGACGUCAAAUCAGCACGGCCCUUACGUCCGGGGCUACACACGUGUUACAAUGGGGGGUACAGAAGGCAGCUAGCGGGUGACCGUAUGCUAAUCCCAAAAUCCUCUCUCAGUUCGGAUCGAAGUCUGCAACCCGACUUCGUGAAGCUGGAUUCGCUAGUAAUCGCGCAUCAGCCACGGCGCGGUGAAUACGUUCCCGGGCCUUGUACACACCGCCCGUCAAGCCAUGGGAGCCGGGGGUACCUGAAGUACGUAACCGCAAGGAUCGUCCUAGGGUAAAACUGGUGACUGGGGCUAAGU
Molecule: ribosomal RNA, 1444 nt
Filed under: uncultured organism
Description: SSU rRNA
Rfam family: Bacterial small subunit ribosomal RNA
Source: RNAcentral